GGGCCCAUAGUUUAAUGGUAGAACGCUACAUUUGCAAUGUAGAGAUGGCAGUUCAAUUCUGCCUGGGUCCA
Molecule: transfer RNA, 71 nt
Filed under: Candidatus Omnitrophota bacterium
Lineage: Bacteria; Pseudomonadati; Candidatus Omnitrophota
Description: tRNA-Ala
Rfam family: tRNA
About the family: Transfer RNA (tRNA) molecules are approximately 80 nucleotides in length.
Source: RNAcentral